Non-coding RNA from Lolium perenne, 2215 nucleotides. Lineage: Eukaryota; Viridiplantae; Streptophyta; Magnoliopsida; Poales; Poaceae. The record is from RefSeq and is a predicted model, not a curated record.
CUGCCCGCAAGUUUCGAUGGGCACCACGCCACCCGCCCUUCAUUCUCUCAGCCUCAACAACCCCCUCCCCUCGUACCCUUCUGCGCCAUCCGGAUCCGCCGACGAUGGUGUGCCUCGUCUCCUCCCAGCGCUGCCUCGCCGAUUUUACCUUUCUCGUCCUCAACAUCCGCGACCUGGAUCUUGGCCGACGGCGCGCCAGUAACAUGUGUGUCGGCGAGGAAGACGGGUGCCGUCGCGAGGAAGUAGUGGUCUUCAUCGAGGCCAAGAACUCAUGAGGCUCCCGAUCUCCACCGGAACUAUUGGCAAUUGAAUAUGGGCGUUGCGAGGGAGGGGUCGAGUAGCGAUGGAGGGUCACCAGACGGCCAGAGUACGUACGGGUUCAUGCGUUAUUUCUCCGUGCCACCUAUACAGGGGACGGAGGUGGUCUUUCAUCUGGCUGCGUGGCCAUCUACAUCGCCCGAGUUCAGGACAUAGACGGAAAUAUGAGCCCGCUAGCUCUUCUAUGAAUCAGUAAUUGCUUAUAUUCCUGCUAAAUCAACUUGAAAACUUCUGUUCUAACAUGUGCUUUUGAAAUCCCUGCUUAUCUUCAGAAAACUACACUUCGUGUUUGCUAGCUCUGUUGUUCUUUCUUUUGUUGAAUGGAUAAACACUACCACUUCUAAUCCUUCGCAGUAAGUAGUUAGAUAGGCAUUGCCAGGGGAAUAGUGAAUACACCAGAUUGGUUUGGCACUUUCAAUUCGUUCACAGUAAGUAGUUAUACGUUAACUGAUAGGCAUCACUAGGAGAUGACUUCUUCUAGCUAGCUCUGUAUCUAGGGGAGACGAGCACAAUUAUUCCAUCAUAAUUCAAGGCUCGGAAGUUCUGCAAUCUUCAGGUAGUCUGCCGUAUUUAUUAGGAGAUAUUGAUUACUUCAUUUGUUAUUCUAUAAAAUUCAUGGGAAACUCUUCUAAUCAGUAGUCUGAUUUCUAUCGAAACGUCGGACGGCUUGUCCGUCGUCCAUCCUUGUGGCAUCUCAGGGCUGUAAGCAUUCCAAAGAUCUCCUCCCUGCCCCAUAAUUACGGGCCAACUUAAUUACAGGCCCACCUAAUUACACGCCCAUCUCCCCAAAUCUCUCCCGUUAUCUCCGUUAACGAUUCGUCUCCUCUAACCGUCCCUGAACUACGCUUCGGAGCUGCCGCUCACCUGCAUCGCCGCUCCGCUUACCUGUUCCCUCUGAUCUGCUCACCGCCGACGGCCGUCCACUUCUCAUCCCCAUCCACCGCCAUUUUUUCGCCCCUUGUAUUCCAGCUGAACCUCCCGUUCGACCAUGCUCGGGCCCAAAUCCCCCGCUAGGCGCUGUUGAACUCGACGACCCACGGACGAAGAGCGAAAUCAACGGCCGAUCUGCGGCCCUGUCUCACAUCGCCGGUACGCCUCACCUCACUAGCCAGCAACGAGCGUACGGCCGUCUAGAUUGCAAGUUUUGGAGCACAACCCUGUAGGCAUUCGCGCUGCAGAUUUCUGCAACUAGCGGAAGCUACCAUGAAACCGGUGGAUGAGUGUUUGUUGAAGAGCCGAUUUGCUGCUGGUCGGUUGAGGGAUGUAGUUUUAGGUAUGGCGAAGAAGCGCAUAAGAUCAUAUUCGACUGCGAGGGUGGGGUAAUCUUCGGAGGUUGGUUCUUUCUCAGCUCCCGAGGGACUGCUUGAAUGGAUUAUAGAUAGGACAAACCCCGAGCUUGGUGAAUUCAGGAACCCACGCAGCAAUGCUUCUAUAUUGUUCACGAAAGAUAUGAUUGUAAAAGUUCUUGGCCUACCUUCGGUAAAAGGCCGGUUGUUCUCACCGGCAAGCACCAAGAAUCAGCACACCGUGAAUUCUUCAAAAUAGACUAUAACCAUGGAAGAAGGGCACCAAUACACCAUGCAAUCGAUAUGCUUGACAAGGGAAAUCUGGAUGAAGAAACAUACUUUAGGACCUUCUUUGAAGUAGCAUUGGGUACUUAUUUGUGCCCGGAAGCUGGAAAUAUGUUACCUUUGGAAUAUCUUGGCAGCCUUGAUGAUUCAAACCAGGUCAAAGAUUAUGAUUGGGGUGCACACAUCCUUCAAAAUGUAAUGUCAGAGGUUGAUGCAUUCCAAAAGAAGAAAGCAAAUAACAAAUUACAAAAUGAACCAAAAAAGAUAUGGGUUGGUAGCUGCUUACCUGUGCUCGCGAUUAUUUUCAUGGACCAUCUUGAAUUCCC